UACGGAGGAUGCGAGCGUUAUCCGGAUUUAUUGGGUUUAAAGGGUGCGUAGGUGGUGAUUUAAGUCAGCGGUGAAAGUUUGUGGCUCAACCAUAAAAUUGCCGUUGAAACUGGGUUGCUUGAGUGUGUUUGAGGUAGGCGGAAUGCGUGGUGUAGCGGUGAAAUGCAUAGAUAUCACGCAGAACUCCGAUUGCGAAGGCAGCUUACUAAACCAUAACUGACACUGAAGCACGAAAGCGUGGGGAUCAAACAGG
RNAcentral lists this ribosomal RNA (253 nucleotides) under Parabacteroides merdae. Its description in RNAcentral is "partial 16S ribosomal RNA". It matches the Rfam family "Bacterial small subunit ribosomal RNA", at positions 524 to 776 of the family's 1533-position model. The record is from RNAcentral. Lineage: Bacteria; Pseudomonadati; Bacteroidota; Bacteroidia; Bacteroidales; Tannerellaceae.